GUGUGCUCCUAGGGGUGUCCCGCCAAGGGGCUGAGACUCUGCUGGCACGGCCGUCGACAUGGCCGAUCGCAGCGCAGUGACCCUUCGAACCUGAUCCGGAUCAUGCCGGCGAAGGGACAGGACCGCAGCGCUUUC
This 135-nucleotide non-coding RNA is filed under the name Palleronia abyssalis. Its description in RNAcentral is "TPP riboswitch aptamer (THI element)". It matches the Rfam family "TPP riboswitch aptamer (THI element)". Rfam says of the family: Vitamin B(1) in its active form thiamin pyrophosphate (TPP) is an essential coenzyme that is synthesised by coupling of pyrimidine and thiazole moieties in bacteria. Lineage: Bacteria; Pseudomonadati; Pseudomonadota; Alphaproteobacteria; Rhodobacterales; Roseobacteraceae. The record is from Rfam by way of RNAcentral.